GGGAUUGUGGCUCAGUGGUACAGCACUUGCCUGGCAUGCAUGAGGCACUGGGUUUGAUCCUCAGCACCA
RNAcentral lists this transfer RNA (69 nucleotides) under Ictidomys tridecemlineatus (thirteen-lined ground squirrel). Its description in RNAcentral is "Spermophilus tridecemlineatus (thirteen-lined ground squirrel) tRNA". It matches the Rfam family "tRNA". From Rfam's summary of the family: Transfer RNA (tRNA) molecules are approximately 80 nucleotides in length. Their secondary structure includes four short double-helical elements and three loops (D, anti-codon, and T loops). Further hydrogen bonds mediate the characteristic L-shaped molecular structure. tRNAs have two regions of fundamental functional importance: the anti-codon, which is responsible for specific mRNA codon recognition, and the 3' end, to which the tRNAs corresponding amino acid is attached (by aminoacyl-tRNA synthetases). tRNAs cope with the degeneracy of the genetic code in two manners: having more than one tRNA (with a specific anti-codon) for a particular amino acid; and 'wobble' base-pairing, i.e. permitting non-standard base-pairing at the 3rd anti-codon position. Lineage: Eukaryota; Metazoa; Chordata; Mammalia; Rodentia; Sciuridae. The record is from Rfam by way of RNAcentral.